RNAcentral lists this ribosomal RNA (479 nucleotides) under uncultured bacterium. Its description in RNAcentral is "partial 16S ribosomal RNA". It matches the Rfam family "Bacterial small subunit ribosomal RNA", at positions 28 to 507 of the family's 1533-position model. The record is from RNAcentral.
GAUGAACGCUGGCGGCGUGCUUAACACAUGCAAGUCGAGCGAGAAGUUUUGAAAAGAUUCUUCGGAUGAAAUUUAAAAUGGAAAGCGGCGGACGGGUGAGUAACGCGUAGGCAACCUGCUCCAUACAAAGGGAUAGCAUUUGGAAACGAAUAUUAAUACCUUAUGAAACUUAACUAGUGCAUGCUAGGUAGGUCAAAGAUUUAUCGGUAUGGGAUGGGCCUGCGUCUGAUUAGCUAGUUGGUGAGGUAACGGCUCACCAAGGCGACGAUCAGUAGCCGACCUGAGAGGGUGAACGGCCACAUUGGAACUGAGACACGGUCCAAACUCCUACGGGAGGCAGCAGUGGGGAAUAUUGCACAAUGGGGGAAACCCUGAUGCAGCAACGCCGCGUGAACGAUGAAGGCCUUUGGGUCGUAAAGUUCUGUUCUAGGUGAUGAAAACUGACAGUAACCUAGGAGAAAGCCCCGGCUAACUCCGUG